UACGUAGGGCGCAAGCAUUAAUCGGAUUUAUUGGGCGUAAAGGGCGCGUAGGUUGGAGCGUAAGUCAGAUGUGAAAUCCCGGGGCUCAACCCCGGAACUGCAUUUGAAACUGUGUUUCUAGAGGGUAGGCGGAGAAAACGGAAUUCCACAAGUAGCGGUGAAAUGCGUAGAUAUGUGGAAGAACACCAGUGGCGAAGGCGGUUUUCUAGCUUAUACCUGACGCUGAUGAGCGAAAGCAAGGGGAGCAAACAGG
This 253-nucleotide ribosomal RNA is filed under the name uncultured bacterium. RNAcentral's name for it is "partial 16S ribosomal RNA". It matches the Rfam family "Bacterial small subunit ribosomal RNA", at positions 524 to 776 of the family's 1533-position model. The record is from RNAcentral.